Molecule: ribosomal RNA, 440 nt
Filed under: Pseudomonas sp. EGU641
Lineage: Bacteria; Pseudomonadati; Pseudomonadota; Gammaproteobacteria; Pseudomonadales; Pseudomonadaceae
Description: bacterial SSU rRNA
Rfam family: Bacterial small subunit ribosomal RNA
Source: RNAcentral
GUGCUGCAAAAACUGUCGUCAGCUCGGUCGUGAGAUGUCGGGAAAGUCCCGUAACGAGCGCAAACCUUGUCCUUAGUUACCAGCACGUAAUGGUGGGCACUCUAAGGAGACUGCCGGUGACAAACCGGAGGAAGGUGGGGAUGACGUCAAGUCAUCAUGGCCCUUACGGCCAGGGCUACACACGUGCUACAAUGGUCGGUACAAAGGGUUGCCAAGCCGCGAGGUGGAGCUAAUCCCAUAAAACCGAUCGUAGUCCGGAUCGCAGUCUGCAACUCGACUGCGUGAAGUCGGAAUCGCUAGUAAUCGUGAAUCAGAAUGUCACGGUGAAUACGUUCCCGGGCCUUGUACACACCGCCCUGUCACACCGAUGGGAGUGGGUUGCUCCAGAAGUAGCUAGUCUAACCUUCGGGGCGACGGCUACUACGGAGGGAUCAGAAGCG